This 301-nucleotide ribosomal RNA is filed under the name uncultured bacterium. RNAcentral describes it as "partial 16S ribosomal RNA". It matches the Rfam family "Bacterial small subunit ribosomal RNA", at positions 509 to 807 of the family's 1533-position model. The record is from RNAcentral.
CAGUAGCCACGGUAAUACGUAGGGUGCAAGCGUUAAUCGGAAUUACUGGGCGUAAAGCGUGCGCAGGCGGUUAUAUAAGACAGAUGUGAAAUCCUUGGGCUCAACCUGGGAACUGCAUUUGUGACUGUAUAGCUAGAGUACGGCAGAGGGGGAUGGAAUUCCGCGUGUAGCAGUGAAAUGCGUAGAUAUGCGGAGGAACACCGAUGGCGAAGGCAAUCCCCUGGGCCUGUACUGACGCUCAUGCACGAAAGCGUGGGGAGCAAACAGGAUUAGAUACCCCCGUAGUCCCUGUCUCUUAUAC